This 253-nucleotide ribosomal RNA is filed under the name uncultured bacterium. RNAcentral's name for it is "partial 16S ribosomal RNA". It matches the Rfam family "Bacterial small subunit ribosomal RNA", at positions 524 to 776 of the family's 1533-position model. The record is from RNAcentral.
UACGUAGGGACCAAGCGUUGUUCGGAUUUACUGGGCGUAAAGCGCGCGUAGGCGGCUUUGUAAGUUAGAGGUGAAAGCCCGGAGCUCAACUCCGGAACUGCCUUUAAGACUGCAUCGCUAGAACGAUGGAGAGGUGAGUGGAAUUCCGAGUGUAGAGGUGAAAUUCGUAGAUAUUCGGAAGAACACCAGUGGCGAAGGCGACUCACUGGACAUCUGUUGACGCUGAGGUGCGAAAGCGUGGGGAGCAAACAGG